This is a long non-coding RNA of Triplophysa dalaica, 822 nucleotides long. RefSeq lists it as uncharacterized. The transcript is spliced from 3 exons. NCBI's taxonomy places the organism in Eukaryota, Metazoa, Chordata, Actinopteri, Cypriniformes, Nemacheilidae. The record is from RefSeq and is a predicted model, not a curated record.
GAGAGCGGGUGUAGAGUAAGCAGCAGAAUAUUAGUGUAGGACUAGAAGGAGAGAUUAAAAACAGAAGACUUGUGUGUGAAUGUCUGGUUGAGGAGAAGCAGAGGGGAUGAGAGACUUAAGAAGUUCAGUUUAGCGUGAGGGUUAAGAAACGGUCUGCCCAGUUCCAUCUAAACACCCCUUUUGUUUCAGAGGAACAUUAGCAAUCGUUCUUGGAAGAGCUGCAUCUGGACUUCUCGAACUUUGAGACGGAGUUCAGACGGAGACAGCGGUAAUAAAACAUGUUCAAAAACUGACUAAGCCUUCCCUGGAAACCUGGACAACGCUACAAUUCCUAAGAAGGUGUGGCUGAGGAAUGGGCAGCAGAGCUUUAAUCUUCUGCCAGGCCUGUGAGGCACAUCUGGAAUAAACCGGGCAAAACGUCUCGGGCCGUGCCUCUCUGGCCACGGUCACCGGACCCGGUCCAAAUGAACCCUUUCACCCUAUGCUGCUCUACUGGGUUGAGCUUAGGCCAGUAGACAGGAAGAAUUCUCACACUCCGUCUGCCCUUGAUCUUUCUCAGCCAUCUGCGAUACUCUGUCACCCUUUGUUGAGUCCUGUUUUUGUCCCUGGGUUCUGGUGGAGAUCUGGUGGCCACUCAAACAUCUGACUUUUUUCUCACUACAUUUCUUGCUCACAAACAUAGACAUUCGUCUUUGUGGUUUGUAAAACAAAUAGAAGCUUGAGACAGAUACAGUUUGUCUGUUUCAUGGCUACUUCUUGAAUAUAAUUUCAGAAUUAAAUUCACCUAUUAAAGCAUUCAGGGAACCGCCUCAAAGGUUCUUU